Molecule: long non-coding RNA, 471 nt
Filed under: Cicer arietinum (chickpea)
Lineage: Eukaryota; Viridiplantae; Streptophyta; Magnoliopsida; Fabales; Fabaceae
Description: long non-coding RNA (CARI_LNC002473)
Source: RNAcentral
AUUUAAUCAUCAAAAACAAAACAUAUGAAAAUACAUAAUGAAAAAAAAAUGUGUGUCUCAUGGCCAGUCCCAAGAAGUAAAGGCAGCAACGCUGCUCCACAAGGCAAUGGAAUAUGAGACAAGAACCAAACGGAGGAACACUCUCCGAAGAGAGAAGACCGUCAACGUUAGUAAACAUUAUUAUGCGACGUUUACUAGGAGUCAUGCAAACACAAUGAUUUUAGUUUGCCCCCAUUCAAGUUGGGAAUUUGGAUUAAAAUCCCCCGUCACAAAAAAUCUAUAUCAGAACAAUUAGUAUUAAUUAAAUAGACUAGAAACAAGAACAUCUACAAAAUAAAUUAAUUAACAAGAUGAAAUGCAACAAAUAAAUUAAUUAGCAGGAAGAAUUGCAGCAAAUAAAAUAAAAGGAUAUUUACAAGGCGCCUUUGAAAAACCCUAAAUAUAGAACAGAAGAAGAUAAUUGGAGAGGUA